UCGAACGAGAAAGUGGACCAAUCCAUGAGUACAGUGCGACACGGGUGAAUAACACGUGACCAACCUGCCUUCGAGUGGGGAACAACCUAGGGAAACCUGGGCUGAUACCGCAUAACAUCUUCGAGUCGGAAGACUUGGGGAUCAAAGGAGCAAUUCGCUUGAGGAGGGGGUCGCGGCUGAUUAGCUAGUUGGCGGGGUAAUGGCCCACCAAGGCGAAGAUCGGUAGCCGGCCUGAGAGGGCGCACGGCCACACUGGAACUGAAACACGGUCCAGACUCCUACGGGAGGCAGCAGUGGGGAAUUUUGCGCAAUGGGGGAAACCCUGACGCAGCAACGCCGCGUGGAGGAUGAAGUCCCUUGGGGAGUAAACUCCUUU
RNAcentral lists this ribosomal RNA (376 nucleotides) under uncultured bacterium. Its description in RNAcentral is "bacterial SSU rRNA". It matches the Rfam family "Bacterial small subunit ribosomal RNA", at positions 62 to 436 of the family's 1533-position model. The record is from RNAcentral.